GAUGAACGCUGGCGGCGUGCCUAAUACAUGCAAGUCGAGCGAUCGGACGAGAAGCUUGCUUCUCUGAUGUUAGCGGCGGACGGGUGAGUAACACGUGGAUAACCUACCUAUAAGACUGGGAUAACUUCGGGAAACCGGAGCUAAUACCGGAUAAUAUUUUGAACCGCAUGGUUCAAAAGUGAAAGACGGUCUUGCUGUCACUUAUAGAUGGAUCCGCGCUGCAUUAGCUAGUUGGUAAGGUAACGGCUUACCAAGGCAACGAUGCAUAGCCGACCUGAGAGGGUGAUCGGCCACACUGGAACUGAGACACGGUCCAGACUCCUACGGGAGGCAGCAGUAGGGAAUCUUCCGCAGUGGGCGAAAGCCUGACGGAGCAACGCCGCGUGAGUGAUGAAGGUCUUCGGAUCGUAAAACUCUGUUAUUAGGGAAGAACAUAUGUGUAAGUAACUGUGCACAUCUUGACGGUACCUAAUCAGAAAGCCACGGCUAACUACGU
This 496-nucleotide ribosomal RNA is filed under the name uncultured bacterium. RNAcentral's name for it is "partial 16S ribosomal RNA". It matches the Rfam family "Bacterial small subunit ribosomal RNA", at positions 28 to 506 of the family's 1533-position model. The record is from RNAcentral.